UGACGAAUAGCUAUGCUGAGAGGUAGAAUAGCCACAAGGGGACUGAGACACGGCCCCUACUCCUACGGGAGGCAGCAGUAGGGAAUUUUUCACAAUGGGCGAAAGCCUGAUGGAGCAAUACCGCGUGAAUGAUGAAGGUCUUCGGAUUGUAAAAUUCUUUUAUUAGGGACGAACGGCACUAAGAGGAAAUGCUUAGUGAUUGACUGUACCUAUUGAAUAAGUAACGGCAAACUAUGUGCCAGCAGCCGCGGUAAUACAUAGGUUACAAGCGUUAUCCGGAUUUACUGGGCGUAAAGCGAGCGCAGGCUGAUUAACAAGUCUAGUGUGAAAUGCAGUUGCUUAACAACUGUUUGCAUUGGAAACUGUUAGUCUGGAGUGUGAUAGGGAGUUCUGGAACUCCAUAUGGAGCGGUGGAAUGCGUAGAUAUAUGGAAGAACACCUGUGGCGAAAGCGAGAACUUAGGUCACAACUGACGCUUAGGCUCGAAAGUGUGGGGAGCAAAUAGGAUUAGAUACCCUAGUAGUCCACACCGUAAACGAUGGUUAUUAGUUGUUGGUACGAAGUACUAGUAACGAAGCUAACGCAUUAAAUAACCCGCCUGGGUAGUACAUUCGCAAGAAUGAAACUCAAACGGAAUUGACGGGGACCCGCACAAGUGGUGGAGCAUGUUGUUUAAUUCGACAGCACACGAAGAACCUUACCAGGGUUUGACAUCCUCGGCAAAGCUAUAGAAAUAUAGUGGAGGUUAACCGAGAGACAGGUGGUGCAUGGUUGUCGUCAGCUCGUGUCGUGAGAUGUUGGGUUAAGUCCCGCAACGAGCGCAACCCCUAUUGUUAGUUACUUUAUCUAACGAGACUGCUAACGCAAGUUAGAGGAAGGUGGGGAUGACGUCAAAUCAUCAUGCCCUUUAUAUCCUGGGCCACAAACGUGCUACAAUGGUUGGUACAAACUGUUGCCAAACUGUAAAGUGGAGCUAAUCAGAAAAAACCAAUCUCAGUUCGGAUUGAGGGCUGAAAUUCGUCCUCAUGAAGUUGGAAUCACUAGUAAUCGCGAAUCAGACAUGUCGCGGUGAAUGCGUUCUCGGGUC
RNAcentral lists this ribosomal RNA (1087 nucleotides) under Candidatus Malacoplasma girerdii. RNAcentral's name for it is "bacterial SSU rRNA". It matches the Rfam family "Bacterial small subunit ribosomal RNA", at positions 277 to 1380 of the family's 1533-position model. The record is from RNAcentral. Lineage: Bacteria; Bacillati; Mycoplasmatota; Mycoplasmoidales; Mycoplasmoidaceae.